CAAAGUGACUGAAGUUUAAUAAUAUUGGAAGAAAGUAAUUCGUACUCCGUAUGGCGACGAGAUAAGAAACCAUGAGCAACGGCUUGAAAGCUCCUGACUCUCUUCCGAGACAGAAGAAAACGAGUCCUAUAGUAAUUAACAGCAAACGCUUCAUACAAAAGAUGUGCUGCAUGUUUCAAAGCUUUGUCUCUCGCACUCUCUAAAAGGGGCGUCACACCUGAACGAAAAAAUAUUUUAGUUUUGCCAAUUUGAUAUUUAGUCGGAUCAGCAUGUUUCUCUAAAAUUGCCUUGCUAAAGGUCAAAGACUCCGUAGUUCUUACGGCAGAGGGAACCAACAUGUAAUAACGAGAAACAAACUCAUCAAAAGUCCAACGGG
Molecule: non-coding RNA, 376 nt
Organism: Schizosaccharomyces pombe (fission yeast)
Lineage: Eukaryota; Fungi; Ascomycota; Schizosaccharomycetes; Schizosaccharomycetales; Schizosaccharomycetaceae
Source: the annotation of a GenBank genome assembly